RNAcentral lists this ribosomal RNA (484 nucleotides) under uncultured bacterium. RNAcentral's name for it is "partial 16S ribosomal RNA". It matches the Rfam family "Bacterial small subunit ribosomal RNA", at positions 30 to 507 of the family's 1533-position model. The record is from RNAcentral.
AUUGAACGCUGGCGGCAGGCCUAACACAUGCAAGUCGAGCGGAUGAAGGGAGCUUGCUCCUGGAUUCAGCGGCGGACGGGUGAGUAAUGCCUAGGAAUCUGCCUGGUAGUGGGGGAUAACGUCCGGAAACGGGCGCUAAUACCGCAUACGUCCUGAGGGAGAAAGUGGGGGAUCUUCGGACCUCACGCUAUCAGAUGAGCCUAGGUCGGAUUAGCUAGUUGGUGGGGUAAAGGCCUACCAAGGCGACGAUCCGUAACUGGUCUGAGAGGAUGAUCAGUCACACUGGAACUGAGACACGGUCCAGACUCCUACGGGAGGCAGCAGUGGGGAAUAUUGGACAAUGGGCGAAAGCCUGAUCCAGCCAUGCCGCGUGUGUGAAGAAGGUCUUCGGACUGUAAAGCACUUUAAGUUGGGAGGAAGGGCAGUAAGUUAAUACCUUGCUGUUUUGACGUUACCAACAGAAUAAGCACCAGCUAACUUCGUG